AAGUCGUAACAAGGUUUCCGUAGGUGAACCUGCGGAAGGAUCAUUCAUAGAGAAACACAACUAAGGUUGCCGUCAGGCAGUCUUUGUGUGUCUCAUUCUAAACUCAAGAGGAGGCCUUUUCGGAGGUCGUUUCCUAGGAAACAUACAAGGCUGAUGACGCGGUUCUUGAAACCUUUUUCGUCGCACACAGUCCUUAAUCUUCUGUCAAACAAAAGUGAAGAGUGAAAAAGGUUUUCAUUUCAACCACUAUACUUACCACCCUAAUUCUAACAUAAUCAAUUGAAUCUAAUUCAAAACAACUUUUGACAACGGAUCUCUUGGUUCUC
Molecule: unclassified non-coding RNA, 326 nt
Filed under: fungal sp.
Lineage: Eukaryota; Fungi
Description: partial internal transcribed spacer region
Rfam family: Eukaryotic small subunit ribosomal RNA (bases 1-46)
Source: RNAcentral